This 776-nucleotide ribosomal RNA is filed under the name uncultured Neocallimastigales. RNAcentral's name for it is "partial large subunit ribosomal RNA". It matches the Rfam family "Eukaryotic large subunit ribosomal RNA", at positions 24 to 656 of the family's 3401-position model. The record is from RNAcentral. Lineage: Eukaryota; Fungi; Neocallimastigomycota; Neocallimastigomycetes; Neocallimastigales.
UAUGUGAUCGUCUCUCGCAUAUCAAUAAGCGGAGGAAAAGAAACUAACAAGGAUUCCCCUAGUAACGGCGAGUGAUGCGGGAAGAGCUCAAAUUUGAAAUCUUAAAGGGUUUCCCUUUACGAAUUGUAGUUUAAAGAAGUGUUUUCUGUUGAGGUUUUGGUAAAAGUUCUUUGGAAUAGGACAUCAUAGAGGGUGAGGAAUCCCGUAUUUGACCUUUACUUUCAACUUUGUGAUACACUUUCAAAGAGUCGGAUUGUUUGGGAAUGCAGUCCAAAAUGGGUGGUAAAUUUCAUCUAAAGCUAAAUAUUGGCGAGAGACCGAUAGCGAACAAGUACCGUGAGGGAAAGAUGAAAAGAACUUUGAAAAGAGAGUUAAACAGUACGUGAAAUUGUCAAAAGGGAAGCGUAUGACACCAUGUGUUGUUUUUCUGAAAAUCAAUUAAAGAACUGUUUAUGCUAAGUUGUUUAGACUUUAUCAGCUAACUGUUUAGUUUUGAGCUUUUCUUUAAUGCACUUUUCAGUUAACAAGUCAACAUCAAUCUCUUUUGCUGUAAAAAAGCUUGAGGAAGGUGGCUUGAGAUUCGUCUUAAGUGUUUAUAGCCUCUUGCCUAUGCAGUCGGAGAGAUUGAGGUCUGCAGCGUAGAUCCUUCGGGGCUAAAUGCAUUUGUGCUAAGUUAUAGCAUUUUAUAGACAACUUGUUGACUAUGAUUUGUCUUGUAGCUUACUCGCUUAUGUUAUUUUACCUACGCUUAGGAUGUUGACACACGCACGUGCUCG